UAGAGUUUGAUCAUGGUUUAGAGUUUGAUCAUGGCUCAGAUUGAACGCUGGCGGCAGGCCUAACACAUGCAAGUCGAGCGGUAACAUUUCUAGCUUCCUUGAAGAUGGCGAGCGGCGGGCGGGUGAGUUAUGCUUGGGACCAUGCCUUGAGGUGGGGCGCCAACCAUUGGAAACGAAGGCUAAUUCCGCAUAACGUCUCCGGGCCAAAGGGGGGUUUCGGCUCUCGCCUUUAGAUUGGCCCAAGUGGGAUUAGCUAGUUGGUGAGGUAAAUGGCUCACCAAGGCGACGAUCCCUAGCUGGUUUGAG
This 306-nucleotide ribosomal RNA is filed under the name bacterium A1(2012). RNAcentral describes it as "partial 16S ribosomal RNA". It matches the Rfam family "Bacterial small subunit ribosomal RNA", at positions 1 to 296 of the family's 1533-position model. The record is from RNAcentral.